RNAcentral lists this transfer RNA (87 nucleotides) under Ferrovibrio sp. RNAcentral describes it as "tRNA-Leu". It matches the Rfam family "tRNA". Rfam says of the family: Transfer RNA (tRNA) molecules are approximately 80 nucleotides in length. Their secondary structure includes four short double-helical elements and three loops (D, anti-codon, and T loops). Further hydrogen bonds mediate the characteristic L-shaped molecular structure. tRNAs have two regions of fundamental functional importance: the anti-codon, which is responsible for specific mRNA codon recognition, and the 3' end, to which the tRNAs corresponding amino acid is attached (by aminoacyl-tRNA synthetases). tRNAs cope with the degeneracy of the genetic code in two manners: having more than one tRNA (with a specific anti-codon) for a particular amino acid; and 'wobble' base-pairing, i.e. permitting non-standard base-pairing at the 3rd anti-codon position. Lineage: Bacteria; Pseudomonadati; Pseudomonadota; Alphaproteobacteria; Rhodospirillales; Rhodospirillaceae. The record is from RNAcentral.
GCCCGCUUGGCGGAAUCGGUAGACGCACGGGACUUAAAAUCCCGAGGCCGCAAGGCCGUGCCGGUUCGAGUCCGGCAGCGGGCACCA